GAGUACGGCCAUGCCACCCUGAACACACUGGAUCGCGUCUGAUUUCAGAAGCUAAGCAGGGUAGGGCCUGCUUAGUACUUGGAUGGGAGACCACCUAGGAAGAUCAGAUGCUGUAGGCA
This 119-nucleotide ribosomal RNA is filed under the name Pteropus alecto (black flying fox). RNAcentral also lists the same sequence under 1 other name. The record is from RNAcentral. Lineage: Eukaryota; Metazoa; Chordata; Mammalia; Chiroptera; Pteropodidae.